UUUCCGAGUUGGUCAAUUGCUUUCUUUUCCUUGGGCAGAACUGCUCAGUUUUUCUUAUAUGUAAAAUGGGAAUAGUUACAGAACCUUUCCCAUUUGGGUUGUCGCUAGUAUUAAAUAAAAGAGUUCGUGCAAAUCUUCAAGCUCAGUGCGAGGCAAGGUUACUGUUCAAUUCCUGGUGGCCAUUGUGGACAUAGCACAGACUGGGUGGAGGCACAGCCUGGCUGGAUUCUGGAGGCUUCUUUGGGGGAUAGUCUCCAGUGUUUAGAAAGCUGAGGCCAAACAGGACACAAGCCAUCCUGUCCUUACACGCACCUUGCCUCUGGCUCCCGUUCACGCACCUGCACCUGCACACACACACAGACACCCUCCCCGGGGCCUUCUUCUGGCCUGGCCUGAGCAGGUCUGGAAUGUGACCUGCAGGAAGGACUGGGGAUCGUCCUCCCCAGAGGACCCAGAGGACCCAGAAGACCCAAUGGGGGUCUUUGAGUGCAAGCUCCUUCUGGGGAGAUGGCCGUGUCUGGCCCACGUCUUCAGGUGCUCACAGGACUGUGAGGAAUUUGCAAAUCCAGGUUUAAGGUUUGGGAAGCGAGGCUUUGUGACCUGCCUGCCUGUCUCAGCGUCUUGCGGUUCUCACAGGAGCUGAAUUUCUGAGGUUGCAUGGUUCCCUCUGAAUUCCUGAAAGCCCGAGGACAAACAGAACAGAAGAUGUUCUCAACAUGAGUGUGGGUAAUUUGUUUCCAGUGAAGACACAGUGUGGAUAAUUUACCUGUACAAGUCAAGAGAUGGAUACUUUUCCCAUCCAGUCUCACUGUGAC
This 815-nucleotide long non-coding RNA is filed under the name Sus scrofa (pig). RNAcentral's name for it is "lncRNA (ENSSSCG00070025073.1)". The record is from RNAcentral. Lineage: Eukaryota; Metazoa; Chordata; Mammalia; Artiodactyla; Suidae.